CACCCGGGGUAGGACUUCAGCA
RNAcentral lists this microRNA (22 nucleotides) under Equus caballus (horse). RNAcentral's name for it is "eca-miR-8982". Lineage: Eukaryota; Metazoa; Chordata; Mammalia; Perissodactyla; Equidae. The record is from miRBase by way of RNAcentral.